UUAAGUGAAAUUGGAGAGAGAGAAAACAAAAAGUCAGUAAAACUCUCCCCACUUCUUCUUCUUCUCACGAGACUCACCCUCAUCAUCUCACCAUGGAGCAUCAAGAAAUUCAUCCUCACUUCAUUGAUUCACAAUCUUGCAUGAUUACUUCUAAAAAAUAAAAAUAAAUCAGCAACUUCUCUCCCUACUCUUCGUACUCUCCACGCAGCAGCAACAACAACAAUUGCCUUCAACCCAUUUUCUUCUCAACCUCAAAUUAAUCCCAAAUCUACCAUGCAAUUCACUUCUUAGGUUCCUAAGCUCAAGUGGAACAAGUGGGUUUGGUGGAAGAGUAGUAUUGUUGCAAGAGAAGGUCAGAAGCAAGGUUUAGAGAGCUAUUAAUGGGUCGGAGGAGUUGGAAAAGCUCAUAGCUAGCCUUGAAGUCUCUUGGGUGUUAUUGGCACUUUAAGCUAACUCAAAUACGAUCGUUGUGGUACCGGUUGCAUGAUUUUUCGACGAGCGAUGAGGUCGAUAAACAUUUUUGAAGUUGGCAGUCAGUAGCUAACUCAAAUACGAUGAGGUCGUUGUGGUACCGUUUGUUUCCAUGGAUAGCUAACUCAAAUACGGUCGUUGUGGUACCUGUUGCAUGAUUUUUCGACGAGCGAUGAGGUCGAUAAACAUUUUUGAAGUUGGCAGUCAGUAGCAGAGCUUGUGCAGAAAAUCUGGUUUUUUUUGGUGUUUUAUGGACUACGGAUUUGCAUUUUGAGCGGCACAAACAGAUGAUUAUAAGCAUGCGAAACAGUUCAGAAUCUCUAUCAAACUCAGGUUUACUAGAGCAAGGACCAGGUGGGAAUUGAUGGUCGAGACUGAGCUUGAAUUAUCCGAUUAUAAGAUUUGUCUUCUUCCUUGUUUUUGUAUUAAUCUGUUGUUUCCAUUAGUUUCCUUCCGCUGUGGAUUUUUAUAAUUAGAAGUCAUUAUGUAAUUUAAUGUACUCGGAUUCAAUUAUGUAUAUUCCGACUAAAUAUUCUAGACAUUAUAGUUGGGGUGUUAUAAUUGGUAUCAGAGCAGGUCGAUCCAGUAUUGGACCUUGCCCUGAGUCAUUAUGGUUCAAUCCAAAGAAGUACGGACCCUUUGGAGUCUGGACUGUUUAUGCUGACAUCAUCGCGUGCUGAGCCCGAUCAACUCAGUAUCGUGUAUGGUAGGCAGGGUAUUACGGUUGAGAACCGAAGUGGACCAAGGAGGUCAAGUAGUAAGAGCGCAGUAGAAGCACGAAUUCAGAAGCAGUUGUGAACAAAGAUCCUUAGAACCGGAUAUUGGAGCUGGAGUAGUCGACGCCACAGGAGUAAGUAGUGUAACACCAACAAGUGGUGCAAAGAAUUCGGAAGAAGUACGUGGUAGCAGUAGUAAGAGGUAUGUUAAAAGGUGCAAGAGAUUGAUGCGCUCAAAUGUUGGAAGCAGGCGUAACUAUUUAGAGGAUUCUGAUAAAAAGGAAAACCCAGUAUCUAAAUAAGCGUUGAUCGAAAUAGAAUCGAAAUGGAGUAUAGAAGUAGGACCCUCGAAUGAAGAUAGUAAGUCUGAAUUGUGCAAUGAGACAGAUGAUGGACUUGGGAGACUGAGCACAGUUUAAAUGAAAUGUGUAGUAUGCAAGUAGUAACUAACCGACACAUAAGUGUUGUGUGAAUCUUUCGGAACCUAGAAUUACCCUUCUGUCCUUGUGAACCUUUAUCAGUAACAUGUCAGACCAAGUAUGACCUAACAAUCAGUUAGCCACAACUUUUCCUAAAAUUGUUAAUCUUCGGUGCAGUCCAGAAAUUCAUUUUAGUGUCAACAGACCCAUUAACUACCUCUAUUGGAGAAUUCAAACUAGAUCACAUAUAUCCCAUUGUUUUUCUAAAGUAAGUCUAUCGUACUAUUCAUUUAGAAUGAGUUACACCAGAUGUCCUCGAGGAGAAAAUUUCAGCCUCUCAGCCCGUAACCAGUAAUCUUACUACACCACUAUAGUCAAGCGUUACCCAGUAUAACAAUUAGAAUUUCCUCUUAAUGAUACCAGUCAUUCAAGUAGGUCUCUUAAGUGAUGUUACUUAAUUAACCUUAAAAUUAGAAACUCAAUUUGAUAUUAGUCUUAAUAAGUCAUCAAAAACCUUAGGUGUUCAAACCUUGCAGCCAAAACCCAUCAGAGUCAGUUACACAUCCUUGUAAGAGCUUGUCAGCUAAAUUUCAAAUUAGAAUCAAGUUUUUCGUAACUUAAGAGAAUUGCCGAUAGAAAGAACUCGUGGAGUAUGAGCUUGAAAUCAGUAGGAAGUAGACCCUAACGUUUAUAGUAGACAGUUGUGACCAGAACUGAUACGGUGGACGUGACGAAAUAUAUUUCGAAAUAAGAUAUGGGGAAGUAUGUAAGCUGGUACUAGAUUGGUAGUUCAAUGAUAGUUAAGUCGAGACGAGUUGUGUGGCGUGUAAACCUUAGAGAACAAGUUGCCAUCCAACCAUGGAAACACUAACCAGGUAUAAUUCGUUGAAUUGAGCAAUGCAUGAUUUGAUAUCAGCAAGCUGUAGAAAAUCAUAAAUGGGCGUGAUCUCCAAUUUGUCUGAUUAUGCCUCAGACAAAAUUAUUUCUUUUUAUGCUUUAAUGCCUAUCAGCAAUGUUCGACAUAUAAAUUCAAAUAAAAUGAGAACCUCCCUAUUUUCUCGUUAUUUAUCAGUCAAACGAACGUUUAACGUAUUAUUUUCAAGAUCUCUGCCCAAAAUAUCUUUAGCCUUUCCGUUACAUUAUUAAUGAUCAAUCCAGAUCAUCAAAAGUUCUAUUACUCUAAAAGGACACGAGUAAAUCCAGUUUAAAGUUCCCACUUGUCCUGUAAUUCUUGUUACCCUGUUAAUCAGUAUCAUUAAACCCUCUAGAUACAAAUGACUCAGUUUAGUGUCAGUUUCGGUAAAACACUUAGAUCUUCCAUGUGCUUGAAAUUCGAAAUUGUUUAACCAAUCGAUUUACUCAACCUUCCUUAUAAGAUCUCGUCAACUAGUUUCGGAUAAGAUCCAAAUCCUCCCGUGUUCAAGAGAAUUAAGAAGAAAUAAUAAGGUCAAUAUUAAUUGAAAACCCUUUUCAGUCCCAUCCCUAGUUAUCAGAAUAGACCAGUGUAAGCCUGAGAGUAUUAGCCAAUAAACACGGGUGUUCCUUCAGAAAACUACCAAUUAUUCUAGUGAUCUGUUUGCUGAUACCUAUAAGCAAUCUAGAGACAAAUAACUCCAUUAGUAUUGCCACUAGCAUUAUAAGACAACAUUUCUUGUAACUCGACUGUCCGAACAGUGAUCAAGUUAAUUUAGAAAAUCCUUCAUUAGAACCUUAUCAGCAUGUCAGUCUAAUAUUUUAGUCUCAUCUUAAAUAUCUCUGACAAAAUGUCUUCAACUCCCAAAUUCCAAUGUCAGCAACUAGUUCGAAUCAGUGUACGCUGAAAUUUCUCGCUACGUAUUGAAUUGUCUCCUUUUGAAAAACAUCAAUUGUCCUAGCUAAUCUGUUAUUUAACCUCAUUAAGUACUCCAGAGUUAAGUGAUUCAAAUUAGUCCCAGUAUUAGAAAUUCAAGACCUUAUGUGCUUAACCACUGAAUUGGUAACUAGACUGUCUCAAUCAAUUUCUUAUCAAAAUCCUACCAGCUAAAUUCCGCCAAGAUCCAAUUCUCGUUUUAGAAGAAUGUCGGUAGAAUAGGAAGUUAAGCAGAGUUGACUCGCGGAUAACAUUAGUGAAUGUAGUAAGGGUUAGCGUUAGAUCAAUUAAGUCACCAUAAGUGGAGUAUGACGAGAAAGAUGAAACACGGUGCCAAACGCGAAGCAGUGAAAAGACUAAAGGACAUGAAACAACUAGAAAACGAAAUGAGUGGACGUGUAGCAAAAAUAUAAGGUUGCGAUAAGGUGUUAAUUAUGCAGUGGUACGUCUGACAUCACAAAGCGAUGCUAGUUUUGAUUUAUCAGGUUGUACGACAGAAAAGGUAGUGACGUGAUAGGAAAUAGAGACAAUCAGUGCAAUAUCUAGUAGACUGGUUUUGGAAGUAAAGUACGGUAGAAGUAUACGCUGGACUGACAAGAAUUAAUAGACACCGGUGAUGUAAUCUAGGAAGAUAACACCUCAAUUUAUAAGGAAAGGUAAUAUUGGUUUAUGUUGAAAACUCUAUGUGCCCAAGAUCAAUCAUGUAUAUGCACUCUUUUUCUUAAUCCACGUACAAAUAUAUAUACAUGAGAGAAAACUUUUUUUUUUUCAUUGUAACCAUCAUGUAGCUAUUAACUAGGAGUAAGUGGGUAUUAACAACUUAUUAAUAACGAAAAAACACAUGUUUAUUGACCAAGUAAGACGUUAACAACUUAUUAAUAAUAAUGAUGAUAAUUAUAUAAUUUUAAAAGGACUUUAAAAUAAAUUAUUUUGUCAAAAUAUACAACAAUCCCCCACAAUUUAUUUUAAAGUUUAGAGGAAUAUUCAAAAAACAUUUCCUGGAUUAACAUCAUUGAUGUAAUGCAUCAAACUGGUGUACAAAUAUAUAUACAUGAGAGAAAACUUUUUUUUUCACUGUAACCAUCAUGUAGCUAUUAACUAGGAGUAAGUGAGUAUUAACAACUUAUUAAUAACGAAACAACACAUGUUUAUUGACCAAGUAAAACGUUAACAACUUAUUAAUAAUAAUGAUGAUAAUUAUAUAAUAUUAAAAGGACUUUAAAAUAAAUUAUUUUGUCAAAAUAUACAACAAUCCCCCACAAUUUAUUUUAAAGUUUAGAGGAAUAUUCAAAAAACAUUUUCUGGAUUAACAUAAUUGAUGUAAUGCAUCAAACUGGUGUAGCAAGCUAUAUGAACCAGUCCUAGACUGAUAGUACUUAACACACAAUAACAUUGGUGUAGCAAGCUAUAUGAACCAAUGAUACUUAGCGUGUGUUAGCGGUCUGCCAAUCGCAUUACUCCCCACAGUUCUUGCUGUUGCCGCUGUGUUGCGCGUAUAGGCCGUGCGCGUGCCUGGAUUCAUUCAUGAGUGCUCUAGAGAUUUCGCCAAGAUCUCAUACAAGCGGCCCCACUUGACACUCACAUAGGUGAUUUCAUCAAGUGUAUUCUGCAAAUCAUACACCACCCAUAAGGGAUAUGAAAAUCAUUAAAAGCUUUAUUGCUUACCCUCUCAAUAAUGCAGAAUCUAGCACUUUCUCACUCACACCAUAGAAAAAGGACUAAGACAAAAAUUAAUUAACUAAUUUUUGGUGCUAGCAGAUCUAACAAGUAACUUGUUCUUACCCAUAUGAACCUUAUUCAUGGGAUCUCCAAUCACAAAGGUUGGGUUCCUAUCACUUGUUGAUUUCAAAUGGCUUAAGUCCAAUUCCUCUCGAUGUGUCACAAAAUUAUUUCUUCCCAGGGGCUUUUCCAGUACGUACUUUACACAAAUGAUGAAGACAUAAUUUUCUUUCAUCAAGUAAUAUUGACUAAGACGUCUCUAAGUCAAUCAAUCUCAUAUAUUUAUUCAAGUCUAUAACAAUAAACUUGUUCUCUAAAAUAAAUCUAUACAUGUCUUCUUAGUUAACUAAGCGACAAUAUUCUCACUUA
Trifolium pratense (red clover) is the source of this 5543-nucleotide long non-coding RNA. RefSeq lists it as uncharacterized. Lineage: Eukaryota; Viridiplantae; Streptophyta; Magnoliopsida; Fabales; Fabaceae. The record is from RefSeq and is a predicted model, not a curated record. The transcript has 4 exons.